GCAGUGCCCUGGUAAAUUAACAACUUUACACUUACUGGAAUAGCCAUGAAAGAGUGUUUGACGUUCAUGCAGUUCUGCAGAGAAGGCGACU
This 91-nucleotide long non-coding RNA is filed under the name Junco hyemalis (dark-eyed junco). RNAcentral describes it as "lncRNA (ENSJHYG00000001703.1)". The record is from RNAcentral. Lineage: Eukaryota; Metazoa; Chordata; Aves; Passeriformes; Passerellidae.